Long non-coding RNA from Mya arenaria, 821 nucleotides. RefSeq lists it as uncharacterized. NCBI's taxonomy places the organism in Eukaryota, Metazoa, Mollusca, Bivalvia, Myida, Myidae. The record is from RefSeq and is a predicted model, not a curated record. The transcript has 2 exons.
CCACACACACACAUGAUAUUUGCCAGUCCAGGUGAUGUCAACCGCAAGAGAAAACCAGUGAUGACAAGUUUUACAAAUAAUCGGAAAGUGUGGUCUUUUGAAGAGAGUUCUUGAAGUUGUUCAGCAUGUUGUUUUGAUGGAUUCUUGGAAGGAUGUACCUCUAUGAUGUUAGCUUCAGUUCUGAAGUAUAACACCAGUUGUUGCAUAUUUAAUAUCAGAUUUAUUAAAUACAUUGUUGUUUUGCAAACAUUACUUAAACUUUGAUAUUUCUUUGGUGUUUAUGUAUGAUAUUGUAGGUGAAUAUCUCUUUAUUGCAAUGGCAAAUAUAUUUUAAAAUAUAUAGCAUUAGCAGAAGUUAUUUUUCACUGCUAAAGCUGCACUUUCACAGAUUGAUCACUUUGACAACUUACACAGGAUUCAAUUGCAUUUAUCAUAUUUUGGCUCGGAGAAGUUUGCUUUGUGAUUUAUAUAUUAGGUCUUAAUUUAAAGAAUGCCAAAAUAAGCCGAUUCUGAGACAAAAAGUGUCAAACUAGAAUUCUGUGAGAGUGCAACUUUAAGAAUACUGUUAAUCGAGUGUGCAUGUGAUCCGGACUCUGAACAUUGGAUGAACUAUCAUUAAAUAUUGUAGAUUUACGUAAAUGGCCCAAAAUAUAAGAAUAACAAUGAAAAUAUGUACAUGUUUGACUUGUUCUUUAUUCAUAAUAAGUCUAAGUCUUUACAGCACAUGUUUGGCAGAAUCAAGUUCUAAUGAACAUAAUAAUUGAUUUAAAUGUACAGUGAAAUAAAUUGUUUUAUACAGAAAAUAAUACCUUAACGAUUCA